This 496-nucleotide ribosomal RNA is filed under the name uncultured bacterium. RNAcentral's name for it is "partial 16S ribosomal RNA". It matches the Rfam family "Bacterial small subunit ribosomal RNA", at positions 28 to 506 of the family's 1533-position model. The record is from RNAcentral.
GAUGAACGCUGGCGGCGUGCCUAAUACAUGCGAGUCGAGCGAACGGACGAGAAGCUUGCUUCUCUGAUGUUAGCGGCGGACGGGUGAGUAACACGUGGAUAACCUACCUAUAAGACUGGGAUAACUUCGGGAAACCGUAGCUAAUACCGGAUAAUAUUUUGAACCGCAUGGUUCAAAAGUGAAAGACGGUCUUGCUGUCACUUAUAGAUGGAUCCGCGCUGCAUUAGCUAGUUGGUAAGGUAACGGCUUACCAAGGCAACGAUGCAUAGCCGACCUGAGAGGGUGAUCGGCCACACUGGAACUGAGACACGGUCCAGACUCCUACGGGAGGCAGCAGUAGGGAAUCUUCCGCAAUGGGCGAAAGCCUGACGGAGCAACGCCGCGUGAGUGAUGAAGGUCUUCGGAUCGUAAAACUCUGUUAUUAGGGAAGAACAUAUGUGUAAGUAACUGUGCACAUCUUGACGGUACCUAAUCAGAAAGCCACGGCUAACUACGU